UACGUAGGGUGCAAGCGUUAAUCGGAAUUACUGGGCGUAAAGCGUGCGUAGGCGGUUUAGUGUGUGGGAAUUGAAAGCCCGGGGCUCAACUCCGGAUCCGGUUCCCAAACUGCUAGACUUGAGCGUAUCAGAGGACAGCGGAAUUCCCGGUGUAGAGGUGAAAUUCGUAGAUAUCGGGAGGAACACCAGUGGCGAAGGCGGCGAUCUGGGAAGAUACUGACGCUGAGGUGCGAAAGCGUGGGGAGCAAACAGG
This 253-nucleotide ribosomal RNA is filed under the name uncultured bacterium. RNAcentral's name for it is "partial 16S ribosomal RNA". It matches the Rfam family "Bacterial small subunit ribosomal RNA", at positions 524 to 776 of the family's 1533-position model. The record is from RNAcentral.